This 288-nucleotide ribosomal RNA is filed under the name uncultured Cenococcum. RNAcentral's name for it is "partial 28S ribosomal RNA". It matches the Rfam family "Eukaryotic large subunit ribosomal RNA", at positions 1 to 289 of the family's 3401-position model. Lineage: Eukaryota; Fungi; Ascomycota; Dothideomycetes; Gloniales; Gloniaceae. The record is from RNAcentral.
UUGACCUCGGAUCAGGCAGGGAUACCCGCUGAACUUAAGCAUAUCAAUAAGCGGAGGAAAAGAAACCAACAGGGAUUGCCUCAGUAACGGCGAGUGAAGCGGCAACAGCUCAAAUUUGAAAUCUGGCUCUUUUAGGGUCCGAGUUGUAAUUUGUAGGGGAUGCUCCGGCGUCCGCUCCNGUCUAAGUUCCUUGGAACAGGACGUCAUAGANGGUGAGAAUCCCNGUAUGUGAUCGGUUGCCUUGCNAUGUGANCUCCUCGACGANUCGAGUUGUUUGGAAUGCACUCU